GAUGAAGAACGCAGCGAAAUGCGAUAAGUAAUGUGAAUUGCAGAAUUCAGUGAAUCAUCGAAUCUUUGAACGCACCUUGCGCCCUUUGGCUAUUCCGAAGGGCAUGCCUGUUUGAGUAUCGUGAACACCUCAACUCUCAUGGUUUGCCAUGAUGAGCUUGGACUUUGGGGGAUUUGCUGGCCUUUGGUCGGCUCCUCUCAAACGGAUCAGCUUUCCAGUGUUUGGUGGCAUCACGGGUGUGAUAACUAUCUACGCCUGUGGUUUUCUGCCAGAUAACCUUCAGCGAUGGAGGUUCGCUGGGGCUCAUAAAUGUCUCUCUUCAGUGGAGACAGCUUUUUGGACGUUUGAUCUCAAAUCAGGUAGGACUACCCGCUGAACUUAAGCAUAUCAAUAACGGAGGA
RNAcentral lists this unclassified non-coding RNA (401 nucleotides) under soil metagenome. RNAcentral's name for it is "partial contains 5.8S ribosomal RNA, internal transcribed spacer 2, and large subunit ribosomal RNA". The stretch from base 1 to 121 matches the Rfam family "5.8S ribosomal RNA", at positions 35 to 154 of the family's 154-position model. The record is from RNAcentral.